RNAcentral lists this unclassified non-coding RNA (253 nucleotides) under uncultured Flavobacteriaceae bacterium. RNAcentral's name for it is "contains 16S-23S intergenic spacer region". It matches the Rfam family "Bacterial small subunit ribosomal RNA", at positions 524 to 776 of the family's 1533-position model. Lineage: Bacteria; Pseudomonadati; Bacteroidota; Flavobacteriia; Flavobacteriales; Flavobacteriaceae. The record is from RNAcentral.
GACGGAGGACCCAAGCGUUAUUCGGAAUCAUUGGGUUUAAUGGGUCCGUAGGCGGGUUAAUAAGUCAGUGGUGAAAGUCUGCAGCUCAACUGUAGAAUUGCCAUUGAUACUGUUAACCUUGAGUAAUUAUGAAGUGGUUAGAAUAUGUAGUGUAGCGGUGAAAUGCAUAGAUAUUACAUAGAAUACCGAUUGCGAAGGCGGAUCACUAAUAAUUUACUGACGCUGAUGGCCGAAAGCGUAGGUAGCGAACAGG